UUCACGCAGAUGUUCAGAACAUGUCAAUAGUCAAAAUGGCUCCAUGCUGUCAUUUCUAAGUUAGAUAUUCUUUAAAGUGCAUUGGUUUCAUAUUGUUUACCCUUCCUUCGGUAUUUUGCCAAAUUUUGGCAAAUUCAAGUCAAGUCAAGUUUAUCAGACACUCACAGAGACAGGUUGGCUGCAAGAGAACGCCACCGUCUUCUGAACUCGCUUUCACUGCGGUGGUACAAUUGGACUCAAUUGAAACCGACAACGCAGAAGGACGCCAUCUUGGUACGCGUGGAGAGCACCCACGGACUCGGCGUCUAUCUCCAGCUGCACAUACAGCAGCGGAUAUUCGAGCCACCUCCUGCCAAAUAAACCCAACGGCGCCAUCGGAAGGAAGCUGACGGUGCCAAGGGCAAUAGGAGACCGGCCGAGGAGGGACGUUGAUGGCUUGCCGCCCGAUCAGGUGUCGUGCGCCGGCGACGUGUCGGGAUGCCACCGUGUCGUUCGUCUGGAGCGGAACCGAUGAGUUGGCGCAUUGGAUUUGGGUCGACAAAAGUCCGGAAAACGAGUCUCGAGUCGGGCCCGUCCUCUCUCAUCGCUUCCCUUCGCGACCGCCGUUUCGGGACCCACGACAGCGUCGGGACCCCGGUUGCUUGGGUAAGCCGGGGGGCGCCUGCUCCAAAAGGUGAACACCAUUCUCAGUGCCUCGGUACUUUGUGCACUUUUCAACAUGUAUUAUUAGAGACGAUUGCCUAUGGUCUUUUGGCCUAUAUUGACUAUUAUCUACUUGAGCGUUCUGGAUCAAUCCGGAAGGACCACUGGCAGUCAUUUGCACAGGCCAGCCAUAGUCUACUAUGGUGGUGGCACGAUGGAUUACAGGCUAUUGCCCAGAGACGUUUUCACUUUCUGGAUCACUGCAAAUACAGGACUUUGUAAUCUGUCUGGGCUACAAUCUCCACUGUAUUCCUUUUUUCUAUUGCAGCAAUUCAUUGACUCUCCCUUUCUAUUUGAUGUUAAAACCUCAUUGAAAAAAAACUGCAAUACUCCUAAAAAACCUUUUAUCUAUGUGCUCAGGCGCAAUUUAAUCAUUCUCAUGCUGCUUAUCUCAGGCAAUAUACAUCCAAACCCAGGUCCAGCUAUACUUAAUCAGAAUGUUUCUAUUUUGUCAUUUGCUGAUUUUUGUGAUCGCACAUCUAUGGGUUUUUUACAUAUUAACAUUCAAAGCCUGUUACCCAAAUUUGAUUUGUUGAAAUCAUGGAUUCAUACUGCUACUCCUGAUGUUCUUGCUAUUUCAGAAUCAUGGCUUAGAAAAAGUACUGUCAAUUCUGUAAUUUCUAUACCAGGUUACACUGUUUUCCGUCAGGACAGAGCCACCAAAGGGGGUGGUGUUGCUUUAUAUAUAAAAGACCAUCUGCAAUGUACUAUUUUCCUA
Molecule: long non-coding RNA, 1420 nt
Organism: Syngnathus acus (greater pipefish)
Lineage: Eukaryota; Metazoa; Chordata; Actinopteri; Syngnathiformes; Syngnathidae
Exons: 2
Source: RefSeq, a predicted model, not a curated record